Molecule: non-coding RNA, 70 nt
Organism: Podarcis lilfordi (Lilford's wall lizard)
Lineage: Eukaryota; Metazoa; Chordata; Lepidosauria; Squamata; Lacertidae
Source: the annotation of a GenBank genome assembly
GGAUAGCUUUGUUGUUUAGAGUGUGGUGCUGAUAACGCCAAGGUUGCAGGUUCAAUCCCCAUAAGGGACA